CCGGUGUUUGAAUCACAGAAAAAGGUUGUAACUACUUUUGUAAAACAUAUGAAGAAUGUAUUAAGCCUAAUUAUGGAUUUGUUGAAGAUUGUACCCACUUUAAGUGUUUUUGAUUGGGUUGUAUCUUCACGGUUAUUUAGCUUUUAGAUGGGGUUGCCAUACACUUCCUUUGUUAUAUAAGAAUUAAACUGGGACACAGAGUACCAAGCUGCUUUCGUUUUAUGCCAAUCGAAGCUAUUUCUAUAUGCACAUAUCAUUGUAACACUCCGUGUAAUUGAUGUGAAUGGAAAAUUACAUCAUAUAUAAAAUACUUGUCGUAAUAUCUUCUUAUCAUUCGCACUUUUUGACUCAGUAAUAGAUUUCAUCGCUGCCGUAAUAUGAAUGUCAAUGCCUGUUCAUACCAUUUGUUAGAAAUUUGUUCCUUAAACUUGCAACUAAGUUUCGGAAUUUCUAACAAAAAGGAGAAAACAAUAUAAUAUGCCCAGCACAACAACUACUAACAAGUUGGGCGCUUGUCAUCUGCUAUAGUGCGCACGCAUGUAUAUCCCCUCUACUCCUUAAGAUGACCGCCAUGACAGCAGCGAACAACGGAGAACUCAGUUCCGCAGAGCCACUCGCUCGGUCGCAGUUACGACAGCAUGAGCUGUGCUUGCAUAUAGAACCAUUCUGAUAAUAUAAAACUGGAUGAAAAUCAUUAAACUCGUACUGUCCUGGUCAAACUGGGACGUAUGGUAACUAGUACACCAUUAGGAAGGUCCCAGAAAUCCAGGUGGGACUGAAAUGAAUGGGACACAUCAGAUUCUGGUCUAUGCUGAUUAUGUAAAUAUAUUGGGGAUAACAAAUACCAUAAGGAAAAACAAAGAAGCUGCAACUGACGCUAGUAAGGAGAUUGGUCUGAAAGCAAACACAGAGAAAGCUAAGUAUAUGUUUGUCUCGUCACCAGAAUGCAAGGCAAAAUAGUAACAUAAAGAUAGAUAAUGGAGUCUUUGAAAACGUGGUAAAGUUAAGAUAUUUAGGGACGAGAAUAACGUAUCAAAAUUUCAUUCAUAAGGAAAUUAAGAGCUGAUUAAAUCUGGGUAAUGCUUGCUACCAUUCUUUUCAGAACAUUUUGAAUUUUCUUUUGCUGUCUACAAACGUAAAGAUUAAAAUAUACAAAACUAUUAUUUUGCGUGUAGUUCUGUAUGGGCGUGAAACUUGAGUCUCUGACAAUAAAGGAGAAACGUGGCCCGAGGGUGUUUGAGAAGAGGGUGCUGAGAAGAAUAUUUGGGCCUAGUAUGAGGGAGGAAAUGCUAGGAGGGUGGAGAGAGUUGCAAGAUGAGGAACUUCAUAAGUUGUACUCAUCACCGAAUAUAAUUAAGACAGGAAGACCUAGACACAGGUGGAUCUGAUAGACUCUUAAUAUUGUAGGACUUUUGUCUGUGAAUUUUUAAGCCUUUAAAAUUCUUUAAGUGAUGGAUUAAGUCUAAAAUGAAGAAAAAAAUAAUAUACGAUAUACCAUUUAACGACUUAAAAGGAAAAUUAUUUAUGGCCGAAAUGUGUCUCUAUUGUGUUUUGGUCAGUUUUGCCUCGUAGAGUUUCAAACACCUAGAAAUGCACAGUCGAAUACCACGGGUCUCACAACAGAAUGCGCUCGUGUGUUGUAGUUUUAAAUACUUGGGGCUUCAGAGCAUUAUUUGGACUAAACCUUUUCUUCUGCUAUAGCUGUAUCUGCCUCUAGUCUUUCCAGCACAGUGCUGUGAUAUUGCUACGAUAACUGCUUACAAUGUUUAAUUUAUUUCUUUUCAGGGCCCAAGAGCCAAAAGUUUGAGGCAUUUUUUUCUGUUAUGUCCUUUUGUAGAGGUUAUUGAUGGUAGUUAACCUCGAAAUAUCGCAAAAUUAGGCACAUACGCUUCUCUGCUUCCACAGAUGAUGCUACUUCUGUGUAAGAUUUGAAGUGUACGUGACGAAAUUUCUCUUUUAAUUACUUCAGUUGCAACGAGACAAAAUGUUUCACCGAAACCACGUCAUGAGGGAAAUGUCCAAACAUCGUCUCAAGCAGAAAUUGCUAAAAGGGUUUCAUCUUGGACCCCAGAAGAUAAAAACAAUGCUUGGGAGCUCAGUGGACAGUUUGAGGGAGACAUCAUGCUUUAUGAAAAUACAGCCAUUAAAAAUGCUUUGCAAGAUGAUAACGCACGUUGGACAAAGGCAGUUGUGCCAUACUCUGUUGAUGGAACGGACUUUUGUGAGUAAAAUAACUUCAGUAAGGUAAUAAUUUUCAACUUUAAUGUGGUUGAUCUGGUACAAGGAAUCACUUCUAUGAGUCAUUUUUGUAAACACAACAUGUAGACACUUUUUACAUUUGAAAAAUUGAUAUGCAUUAGUUUCACUUAGCACCAUUUUGAUACCUCUGAGGGAGUAAAACAUUAAAUGUGUCCCUCAUUACCCUGGCAGGAAUGUCCUCAGGUUGUAGGUAGGACACAUUAAAUAAUCCCAUAAUGUGUAUUCUGUACUGGAGGAAGCAAAUUUUCCUCACGUGUUCUUUGCAAUGUGUCUUACCCCACAAAAUUGAUUUGAAGAUGGCUGUCUUUUGGAU
Zootermopsis nevadensis is the source of this 2572-nucleotide non-coding RNA. Lineage: Eukaryota; Metazoa; Arthropoda; Insecta; Blattodea; Termopsidae. The record is from RefSeq and is a predicted model, not a curated record.